RNAcentral lists this ribosomal RNA (496 nucleotides) under uncultured bacterium. RNAcentral's name for it is "partial 16S ribosomal RNA". It matches the Rfam family "Bacterial small subunit ribosomal RNA", at positions 28 to 506 of the family's 1533-position model. The record is from RNAcentral.
GAUGAACGCUGGCGGCGUGCCUAAUACAUGCAAGUCGAGCGGACAGACGAGGAGCUUGCUCCUCUGCCGUUAGCGGCGGACGGGCGAGUAAAACGUGGAUAACCUACCUCUUAGACUGGGAUAACUUCGGGAAAACGGAGCUACUACCGGAUAAUAUAUUGAACCGCAUGGAUCAAUAGUGCAAGACGGCUUUCCUGUCACUUAUAGAUGGAUCCGGGCUGCCUUAGCUAGUUGGUAAGGUAACGCCCUACCAAGGGAACGAUGCUUAGCCGACCGGAGAGAUUGAUCGGCCAAACGGGAACUGAAACACGGUCCGAACUCCUACGGGAGGCAGCAGUAGGGAAUCUGCCGCAAUGGGCGAAAGCCUGACGGAGCAACGCCGCGGGGGUGAUGAAGGUCUUCGGAUCGUAAAACUCUGUUAUUAGGGAAGAACAAAUGUGUAAGUAACUAUGCACGUCUUGACGGUACCUAAUCAGAAAGCCACGGCUAACUACUU